GACGAACGCUGGCGGCGUGCUUAACACAUGCAAGUCGAACGGAAAGGCCCUGCUUUUGUGGGGUGCUCGAGUGGCGAACGGGUGAGUAACACGUGAGUAACCUGCCCUUGACUUUGGGAUAACUUCAGGAAACUGGGGCUAAUACCGGAUAGGAGCUCCUGCUGCAUGGUGGGGGUUGGAAAGUUUCGGCGGUUGGGGAUGGACUCGCGGCUUAUCAGCUUGUUGGUGGGGUAGUGGCUUACCAAGGCUUUGACGGGUAGCCGGCCUGAGAGGGUGACCGGCCACAUUGGGACUGAGAGACGGCCCAGACUCCUACGGGAGGCAGCGGUGGGGAAUAUUGCACAAUGGGCGGAAGCCUGAUGCAGCAACGCCGCGUGCGGGAUGACGGCCUUCGGGUGGUAAACCGCUUUCGCCUGUGACGAAGCGUGAGUGACGGUAAUGGGUAAAGAAGCACCGGCUAACUACGUG
RNAcentral lists this ribosomal RNA (468 nucleotides) under uncultured bacterium. RNAcentral describes it as "partial 16S ribosomal RNA". It matches the Rfam family "Bacterial small subunit ribosomal RNA", at positions 28 to 507 of the family's 1533-position model. The record is from RNAcentral.